UGGGGGAUAUUGCACAAUGGGGGGAACCCUGAUGCAGCGACGCCGCGUGGGUGAAAAAGCGCCUCGGCGCGUAAAGCCCUGUCAGCAGGGAAGAAAAUGACGGUACCUGAAGAAGAAGCCCCGGCUAACUACGUGCC
This 137-nucleotide ribosomal RNA is filed under the name uncultured bacterium. Its description in RNAcentral is "partial 16S ribosomal RNA". It matches the Rfam family "Bacterial small subunit ribosomal RNA", at positions 355 to 509 of the family's 1533-position model. The record is from RNAcentral.